RNAcentral lists this ribosomal RNA (501 nucleotides) under uncultured bacterium. RNAcentral's name for it is "partial 16S ribosomal RNA". It matches the Rfam family "Bacterial small subunit ribosomal RNA", at positions 29 to 523 of the family's 1533-position model. The record is from RNAcentral.
AUUGAACGCUGGCGGCAUGCCUUACACAUGCAAGUCGAACGGCAGCACGGGUGCUUGCACCUGGUGGCGAGUGGCGAACGGGUGAGUAAUACAUCGGAACGUACCUUAUCGUGGGGGAUAACGCAGCGAAAGUUGCGCUAAUACCGCAUACGCCCUGAGGGGGAAAGCGGGGGACCGUAAGGCCUCGCGCGAUUAGAGCGGCCGAUGUCUGAUUAGCCUGUUGGGGAGGUAAAAGCGCACCAAGGCGAUGAUCAGUAGCUGGUCUGAGAGGACGGUCAGCCACACUGGGACUGAGACACGGCCCAGACUCCUACGGGAGGCAGCAGUGGGGAAUUUUGGACAAUGGGGGCAACCCUGAUCCAGCAAUGCCGCGUGAGUGAAGAAGGCCUUCGGGUUGUAAAGCUCUUUUGUCAGGGAAGAAACAGCAGCUCUAACACAGUCUGCGAAUGACGGUACCUGAAGAAUAAGCACCGGCUAACUACGUGCCAGCAGCCGCGGUAA